GUCCACACCGUAACGAUGAUUACUAGGUGUUGGAGGAUUGACCCUUCAGUGCCGCAGUUAACACAAUAAGUAAUCCACCUGGGGAGUACGACCGCAAGGUUGAACUCAAGGAAUUGACGGGCCCGGCACAAGCAGUGGAGUAUGUGGUUUAAUUCGACGCAACGCGAAGAACCUUUACCAAGUCUUGACAUCCCUUGACGAUGCUGGAAACAGUAUUUCUCUUCGGAGCAAGGAGACAGGUGGUGCAUGGUUGUCGU
RNAcentral lists this ribosomal RNA (257 nucleotides) under uncultured bacterium. RNAcentral describes it as "partial 16S ribosomal RNA". It matches the Rfam family "Bacterial small subunit ribosomal RNA", at positions 793 to 1055 of the family's 1533-position model. The record is from RNAcentral.